GUCAGUGAGGCGUAAGGAGGUGAGCUGUGACUACAGAGUGAGCUCAGGACCAAACUCUCUUUCUCCACGCAGUGAUGGGAAAAGCUUUGCACAUCUGGUGGGAGUUCACAUCAGUGAUCCAACAACUAUACAGACACCUUCUAUGGCAGUGGGUUUGACUCCAGGUCCUAGAUCUACUUUGCCUCCCAGCACGACAGUGAGUCCUACAGAAGGUGUGUUGGGCCUCUAAAUUACCAUCUCUGCAAGUUCCAAUUAUACAGUCAAGCGUUAAGAUUACGGGCCUGUAA
This is a long non-coding RNA of Salvelinus namaycush (lake trout), 287 nucleotides long. RefSeq lists it as uncharacterized. The transcript is spliced from 3 exons. The record is from RefSeq and is a predicted model, not a curated record. NCBI's taxonomy places the organism in Eukaryota, Metazoa, Chordata, Actinopteri, Salmoniformes, Salmonidae.